UGGGGAAUUUUGGACAAUGGGGGAAACCCCGAUCCAGCCAUCCCGCGUGUGCGAUGAAGGCCUUCGGGUUGUAAAGCACUUUUGGCAGGAAAGAAACGUCAUGGGUUAAUACCCCGUGAAACUGACGGUACCUGCAGAAUAAGCACCGGCUAACUACGUGCCAGCAGCCGCGGUAAUACGUAGGGUGCAAGCGUUCAUCGGAAUUACUGGGCGUAAAGCGUGCGCAGGCGGUUCGGAAAGAAAGAUGUGAAAUCCCAGAGCUCAACUUUAGAACUGCAUUUAUAACUACCGGGCUAGAGUGUGUCAGAGGGAGGUGGAAUUCCGCGUGUAGCAGUGAAAUGCGUAGAUAGGCGGAGGAACACCGAUGGCGAAGGCAGCCUCCUGGGAUAACACUGACGCUCAUGCACGAAAGCGUGGGGAGCAAACAGG
RNAcentral lists this ribosomal RNA (429 nucleotides) under Acidobacteriota bacterium. RNAcentral's name for it is "Acidobacteria bacterium partial 16S ribosomal RNA". It matches the Rfam family "Bacterial small subunit ribosomal RNA", at positions 355 to 776 of the family's 1533-position model. The record is from RNAcentral. Lineage: Bacteria; Pseudomonadati; Acidobacteriota.